GCGGGUGUAACUCAGUUGGUAGAGUGCCAGCCUUCCAAGCUGGUUGUCGCCGGUUCGAACCCGGUCGCCCGCUCCA
Molecule: transfer RNA, 76 nt
Filed under: Candidatus Margulisiibacteriota bacterium
Lineage: Bacteria; Bacillati; Candidatus Margulisiibacteriota
Also listed under: 1 other name
Description: tRNA-Gly
Rfam family: tRNA
About the family: Transfer RNA (tRNA) molecules are approximately 80 nucleotides in length. Their secondary structure includes four short double-helical elements and three loops (D, anti-codon, and T loops).
Source: RNAcentral